UGGCCGGUACAGAGAGCAGCCACCCCGCGAGGGGGAGCGAAUCUACAAAAACCGGUCUCAGUUCGGAUCGCAGUCUGCAACUCGACUGCGUGAAGCUGGAAUCGCUAGUAAUCGCGCAUCAGCCAUGGCGCGGUGAAUACGUUCCCGGGCCUUGUACACACCGCCCGUCAAGCCAUGGAAGUCUGGGGGACCUGAAGACGGUAACCGCAAGGAGCCGUUAAGGGUAAAACAGGUAACUAGGGCUAAGUCGUAACAAGGUAAC
This 262-nucleotide ribosomal RNA is filed under the name uncultured bacterium. Its description in RNAcentral is "partial 16S ribosomal RNA". It matches the Rfam family "Bacterial small subunit ribosomal RNA", at positions 1231 to 1500 of the family's 1533-position model. The record is from RNAcentral.